This 253-nucleotide ribosomal RNA is filed under the name uncultured bacterium. RNAcentral describes it as "partial 16S ribosomal RNA". It matches the Rfam family "Bacterial small subunit ribosomal RNA", at positions 524 to 776 of the family's 1533-position model. The record is from RNAcentral.
UACGAAGGGGACUAGCGUUGUUCGGAAUUACUGGGCGUAAAGCGCGCGUAGGCGGACUGGAAAGUUGGGGGUGAAAUCCCAGGGCUCAACCCUGGAACUGCCUUCAAAACUCCCAGUCUGGAGUUCGAGAGAGGUGAGUGGAAUUCCGAGUGUAGAGGUGAAAUUCGUAGAUAUUCGGAGGAACACCAGUGGCGAAGGCGGCUCACUGGCUCGAUACUGACGCUGAGGUGCGAAAGCGUGGGGGGCAAACAGG